Molecule: ribosomal RNA, 253 nt
Filed under: uncultured bacterium
Lineage: Bacteria
Description: partial 16S ribosomal RNA
Rfam family: Bacterial small subunit ribosomal RNA
Source: RNAcentral
UACGUAGGUGGCAAGCGUUGUCCGGAUUUACUGGGUGUAAAGGGCGUGCAGCCGGGCUGACAAGUCAGAUGUGAAAUCCCGCGGCUCAACCGCGGAACUGCAUUUGAAACUGUCAGUCUUGAGUACCGGAGAGGUCAUCGGAAUUCCUUGUGUAGCGGUGAAAUGCGUAGAUAUAAGGAAGAACACCAGUGGCGAAGGCGGAUGAUUGGACGGCAACUGACGGUGAGGCGCGAAAGCGUGGGGAGCAAACAGG